GUUGAAGAACGUAGCGAAAUGCGAUAAGUAAUGUGAAUUGCAGAAUUCAGUGAAUCAUCGAAUCUUUGAACGCACAUUGCGCCCGCCAGUAUUCUGGCGAGCAUGCCUGUUCGAGCGUCAUUUCAACCAUCAAGCCCCAGGCUUGUGUUGGAGCCCUGCGGCUGCCGCAGCCUCCCAAAACCAGUGGCGGGCUCGCUAUCACACCGAGUGCAGUAGUUUACUCUUCGCUCAGGGCGUGUGGCGGGUGCUAGCCGUGAAACCCCCAACUUCUCAAGGUUGACCUCGGAUCAGGUAGGAAUACCCGCUGAACUUAAGCAUAUCAAUAAGCGGAGGA
This 334-nucleotide unclassified non-coding RNA is filed under the name soil metagenome. RNAcentral's name for it is "partial contains 5.8S ribosomal RNA, internal transcribed spacer 2, and large subunit ribosomal RNA". The stretch from base 1 to 120 matches the Rfam family "5.8S ribosomal RNA", at positions 35 to 154 of the family's 154-position model. The record is from RNAcentral.